Molecule: ribosomal RNA, 253 nt
Filed under: uncultured bacterium
Lineage: Bacteria
Description: partial 16S ribosomal RNA
Rfam family: Bacterial small subunit ribosomal RNA
Source: RNAcentral
UACGUAGGGGGCUAGCGUUGUCCGGAUUUAUUGGGCGUAAAGAGCGUGUAGGCGGCCAUGUAGGUCCGGUGUGAAAACUCGAGGCUUAACCUCGAGAUGUCAUCGGAAACCAUUUGGCUAGAGUCCGGAAGAGGAGAGUGGAAUUCCUGGUGUAGCGGUGAAAUGCGCAGAUAUCAGGAAGAACACCAAUGGCGAAAGCAGCUCUCUGGGACGGUACUGACGCUGAGACGCGAAAGCGUGAGGAGCGAACAGG